AAUACAGUUUGAUUUUGUAUGUCUCGAGUUUCUCAUUAAGUCACAUAAUUGAGUUUUCUUUAUUCUGACUUUUUUUCUCCUGGUGAUUCUGUUUGUAGUAUUGACUGAAAAUCCUUACACUAAUGCUAAUUUUGAUCUUUUUUUUCACUAGCAUGUAUUGGAGCCCUCAGACUUGAAGAAGGACAUAGAUUUCGUGACUGAUGCUGAAAUGGAAGCCAACCAUUGCAGAAAUUUGGGGGAAAAUGAAUCUGAAGAAUGCAAGGGGAAGUAGGAAUUCAUUUCUAGCAUUCCCAAACCUGCUUUGUCACGUCACCUCCACCACAGUCAGAGGAAAAGAACUGAUCAUGAAAAUUACCAACUAAGCCUUACAUCUGUCUUUAAUGUUUUUAGGAAAUAUACUGAAAAGGUAAGUGAGAUGUCUGUUUUGAAGAAAGACUUUAUUAGGUAUUUUAAAACCAGUUCUGUAUUAGUAAAACUGGACAGCUUCUUUAUUCUGAGCUUCAAAAGUCUUGUCCCCAUUUGGUAUGGUUCUCAGUAAUUGUGGAGAAGGUGGAGUUGUUCCAACCAACACGAAGCUUUUCCUCUACUUCUCAGCAAUUAAGCUGGAUCUUACAUUGAAGUGUCCAAAGUGCCAGUUUUUGUUGUUUUGUGCUCAAAUCCUCUCUUAAAAAAUUAUUUUUAGUUGAGUUGUAAUUUUACCCCUUACUGUUUAGAAAAACUUUUUAAAUGCUUCAAAGUUCCUACCAGAACUACAUUUGUAUUGUAUGUAGUCAAAUAAUAAUAAAAUUAUGGAGUUUUAUAGAUCUCUGUUAACAUCCACCUAUGUGGGUUUAUAGAUAAUUUUUAAAUUACUAGGAUUGUUCCAAAUUUAUUAAAUCCCUAUAUAAUAGGCAUUGUGCCAGGCCCUGCAAUAAAGAGAUGGACUGGUACACAGUUCAUGUUCUCAAGAAAUUCAUUUUUAUUGAUAUAAUACAGAUAGAAUUCUAGUUUAGGGAAUCAGAAUCAAAAUGAGGCUAAUUCCAUUUCCCAGUCAACAAUCCGCUGUAGCUAGCAUGUUAAUCUGAUACAUGACAAAUUGUAUUUGAAAGAUCCAGCACUGGAUGUGUGUGAGAGAGACAUUUACUAAAUACUUCCUAUAUUCUAGGUACUGUUCUAGGCUCUUUAUAUAUAUAUAUAUAUAUAUUUUUUUAAUCCCUAUAACUAUCCUGUGAGAUAGGUCCUAUUUUUAAAGCCCAUUUUCUAAGUCAUUAAGGCAGAAAAGUUAACUUACCCAAGUUUGCACAACUGUCAUCUAGGACCAGUCUUUGAACCCAGGCAGGCUGAUUGCAGAGCCUGUACUCUUCAAUUUGGGUGUGAUAUUUAUAUGCAGUACCUGGCUAGGAGUACCCACCAGACUUUCCAGAUUCUUAAUAAAAUUUGCCUAGUUUUAAAAAGGAAAGUUUCAGUAAUACAGAACUACUAUAGAUAAUAGUUGUCCAACUUUUUAGAGAACCAGAAUUCCCUUUUUUUCAGCUCUGGGCUCCAAGACAGUUAUUUUGCAUGAUGAUCUCCCCUCCUCCCCCUCCCCUCACUCCCCCCAACAGUGUGCGUGCACACACACAAAAUUUAAAGUGCUGGCACAGAGAAGCAGAGCUUAUCACCCUUAUAUUUUCUCUUCACUACCUAUUGUCACUUAUGUCCACCCCUCUUUCUUUCUGGAAUAUGGACAUUUUAUUUAGCUGCUAAAUGAUGAGAAAAUAAGACUGCUGAGACUUUCCCUAGGAGUCUUUAAAAAUAGAUUAGGCUCUGUACAAAAUAAAAACUGCUGUGAGAACUCCAGGUAGGUAAUUUACUUCCUGUUGUAUGUAUAGUUUCUGAAGCCUCUGCACCUCUAGCCCCUGUUUUAUGUUUCUGUAAAUCUGAUUUGACCUUUAAUAAACUGUUUUCUGAA
Physeter macrocephalus (sperm whale) is the source of this 1930-nucleotide long non-coding RNA. RefSeq lists it as uncharacterized. The transcript has 2 exons. Lineage: Eukaryota; Metazoa; Chordata; Mammalia; Artiodactyla; Physeteridae. The record is from RefSeq and is a predicted model, not a curated record.